AGUGAACGCUGGCGGUAGGCCUAACACAUGCAAGUCGAACGGCAGCACAGUAAGAGCUUGCUCUUACGGGUGGCGAGUGGCGGACGGGUGAGGAAUACAUCGGGAUCUACUUUUUCGUGGGGGAUAACGUAGGGAAACUUACGCUAAUACCGCAUACGACCUACGGGUGAAAGCAGGGGAUCUUCGGACCUUGCGCGAUUGAAUGAGCCGAUGUCGGAUUAGCUAGUUGGCGGGGUAAAGGCCCACCAAGGCGACGAUCCGUAGCUGGUCUGAGAGGAUGAUCAGCCACACUGGAACUGCGACACGGUCCAGACUCCUACGGGAGGCAGCAGUGGGGAAUAUUGGACAAUGGGCGCAAGCCUGAUCCAGCCAUACCGCGUGGGUGAAGAAGGCCUUCGGGUUGUAAAGCCCUUUUGUUGGGAAAGAACAGCAGCAGGUUAAUACCCCGCUGUUCUGACGGUACCCAAAGAAUAAGCACCGGCUAACUUCGUG
RNAcentral lists this ribosomal RNA (492 nucleotides) under uncultured bacterium. RNAcentral's name for it is "partial 16S ribosomal RNA". It matches the Rfam family "Bacterial small subunit ribosomal RNA", at positions 29 to 507 of the family's 1533-position model. The record is from RNAcentral.